Unclassified non-coding RNA from Dipodomys ordii (Ord's kangaroo rat), 174 nucleotides. NCBI's taxonomy places the organism in Eukaryota, Metazoa, Chordata, Mammalia, Rodentia, Heteromyidae. The record is from Ensembl.
UGUGGGUCGGGGGUCCACCGAUAGCAGUGGGGCGGAGGGCGUUUGCUUCACUGUCCGAUACAAGUUAGAGUGCAGUUUAGGCGAAAAGAAAAGUGUCCUAUUAAACGCCCGACGACGGAAUGUGCCUCCGCGAGCAUGUGUGUGGAGACGCACGAAUUUAAAACAGCCCGCGAG